Molecule: ribosomal RNA, 433 nt
Filed under: uncultured bacterium
Lineage: Bacteria
Description: partial 16S ribosomal RNA
Rfam family: Bacterial small subunit ribosomal RNA
Source: RNAcentral
AACGAACGCUGGCGGCAUGCCUAACACAUGCAAGUCGAACGAGACCUUCGGGUCUAGUGGCUCACGGGUGCGUAACGCGUGGGAACCUGCCCUUAGGUUCGGAAUAACUCCCCGAAAGGGGUGCUAAUACCGGAUAAUGUCUGCGGACCAAAGAUUUUUCGCCUUUGGAUGGGCCCGCGUUGUAUUAGCUAGUUGGUAGGGUAAAAGCCUACCAAGGCGACGAUCCAUAGCUGGUCUGAGAGGAUGAUCAACCACACUGAGACUGGGACACGGCCCAGAAUCCUGCGGAAGGCAGCAAUGGGAAAUAUUGGACAAUGGGCGGAAGCCAGAUCCAGCAAUGCCGCGUGAGUGAUGAAGGCCUUAGGGUUGUAAAGCUCUUUUACCCGGGAUGAUAAUGACAGUACCGAGAGAAUAAGCUCCGGCUAACUCCGUG